AAGCUCGUAGUUGAAUUUCGGGGUUAGUAGGUUGGUCAUGCCUCUGGUAUGUACUGGUCUCACUGAUUCCUCCUUCCUUAUGAACCGUAAUGCCAUUAAUUUGGUGUUGCGGGGAAUUUGGACUGUUACUUUGAAAAAAUUAGAGUGUUUAAAGCAAGCUAACGCUUGAAUACAUUAGCAUGGAAUAAUGAAAUAGGACGUUCGAUCUUAUUUUGUUGGUUUCUUAGGUAGUUAGUACGGUAACGUUAGUAGUUAAAUUAAGGGUAAAGGUUAAGGGUUCGGGUCGUAGGACGGGCGGGUCGGUCGGACGGAACGG
This 316-nucleotide ribosomal RNA is filed under the name uncultured Glomus. RNAcentral describes it as "bacterial SSU rRNA". It matches the Rfam family "Eukaryotic small subunit ribosomal RNA", at positions 624 to 1023 of the family's 1831-position model. The record is from RNAcentral. Lineage: Eukaryota; Fungi; Glomeromycota; Glomeromycetes; Glomerales; Glomeraceae.